This 325-nucleotide long non-coding RNA is filed under the name Capsicum annuum. Its description in RNAcentral is "long non-coding RNA (CANN_LNC001613)". The record is from RNAcentral. Lineage: Eukaryota; Viridiplantae; Streptophyta; Magnoliopsida; Solanales; Solanaceae.
CUUUUAAUGAAGGAUAAAAAGUUCAAAUCACUUUUCUAAGGAUCUUCACACUUUCAAUAUAUUAUAGAUAUAGAUUUAUAUAUAUAUAUAUAUAUAUAGCGCAGUAAAAUUUAUGCCGCUUCUGCUUGCUACUGCUAGUCUCUUGAUAUCUACUAAAUGGAUAUACUGAAUCAUGGACUCAACACACCAGUUGAGAUAGGAGAUGAGGACCAAUGGCCAUAGUUACGGAUGGGAAAAAGAGAAAAAAAAUAUAUAUAAAUACGAACAAUAUAUUGAUGGGAAAAGAGACAUAUGAAUUUCUAGCUAUGUAAAAGAGACAUAUUCU